UUGCUUUAUUUUGUUUAAUUCAUAUUAUUUUCAUUUUUAAUCCAAAAAAUAUGGGACUUUCACCAAAAAUAUUUAAAUAUUUUUCUCUUUCAUUUACUGAAUUAAAAUUAUUUUUUGGAUUAAUUUUGAUAUUUUUCAUAAAUCAAAUGCUUUUGUGCAUAUUUUUAAUUGUUUAAAAAUACUUCUGACUUUUCAAAAUCAUGAAUUUUUUUGCCUAAGGCCCUUUGACCUUGUUUGACCUAGGAUAAAUCUCUUGACC
This 259-nucleotide long non-coding RNA is filed under the name Lathyrus oleraceus (garden pea). RNAcentral's name for it is "Pisum sativum (pea) long non-coding RNA (PSAT_LNC016677)". The record is from RNAcentral. Lineage: Eukaryota; Viridiplantae; Streptophyta; Magnoliopsida; Fabales; Fabaceae.